UAUGAUUAGCUAUCUAUAGCUAGGAUUGUAUAGAGGGUAGUCGCAGUCACCCCAACUCCGACUUGUGGAUACAAUCUUUGAUUUCAUUCAUAAGUAAGGUGAGAAACAACAAUUAUGUUGGAAACUUUAAUUUUAUUAAAAAAUCAAGGAACUGC
Molecule: non-coding RNA, 155 nt
Submitted as: unclassified sequences
Source: Rfam